UGGGGAAUAUUGGACAAUGGGCGAAAGCCUGAUCCAGCAAUGCCGCGUGAGUGAUGAAGGCCUUAGGGUUGUAAAGCUCUUUUACCAGGGAUGAUAAUGACAGUACCUGGAGAAUAAGCUCCGGCUAACUCCGUGCCAGCAGCCGCGGUAAUACGGAGGGAGCUAGCGUUGUUCGGAAUUACUGGGCGUAAAGCGUACGUAGGCGGUGACUCAAGUCAGAGGUGAAAGCCUGGAGCUCAACUCCAGAACUGCCCUUGAAACUAGGUCGCUAGAAUCACGGAGAGGUGAGUGGAAUUCCGAGUGUAGAGGUGAAAUUCGUAGAUAUUCGGAAGAACACCAGUGGCGAAGGCGGCUCACUGGACGUGUAUUGACGCUGAGGUACGAAAGCGUGGGGAGCAAACGGGAUUAGAUACCCCCGUAGUCCCUGAGCGGGCUGGCAAGGCGCAU
RNAcentral lists this ribosomal RNA (447 nucleotides) under uncultured bacterium. RNAcentral's name for it is "bacterial SSU rRNA". It matches the Rfam family "Bacterial small subunit ribosomal RNA", at positions 355 to 825 of the family's 1533-position model. The record is from RNAcentral.